GUGGGGAAUCUUCCGCAAUGGACGAAACCCUGAAGGAGCGACGCCGCGUGGGGGAUGAAGGGCUUCGGCUCGUAAACCCCUGUCAUUUGUGAGCAAGUGUUAUUGUUUAAGAGAUGAUGACAUUGAUAGUAGCAAAAGAGGAAGGGACGGCUAACUCUGUGCUAGCAGCCGCGGUAAUACAGAGGUCCCAAGCGUUGUUCGGAAUCACUGGGCGUAAAGGGUGCGUAGGCGGUAUAGUAAGACUUGGGUGAAAUCUCCAUGCUUAACGUGGAGGGAGCCUGGGAGACUGCUGUGCUAGAGGAUUGGAAGGGAGACUGGAAUUCUUGGAGUAGCAGUGAAAUGCGUAGAUAUCAAGAGGAACACCAGUGGCGAAGGCGAGUCUCUGGACAAGACCACACGCUGCGGCACGAAGGACAGGCGAUCAAACGGGAUUAGAAACCCCAGUACUCC
RNAcentral lists this ribosomal RNA (450 nucleotides) under uncultured bacterium. RNAcentral's name for it is "partial 16S ribosomal RNA". It matches the Rfam family "Bacterial small subunit ribosomal RNA", at positions 354 to 796 of the family's 1533-position model. The record is from RNAcentral.